GACGAACGCUGGCGGCGUGCCUAAUACAUGCAAGUUGAGCGAUGAAGAUUGGUGCUUGCACCAAUUUGAAGAGCAGCGAACGGGUGAGUAACGCGUGUGGAAUCUGCCUUUGAGCGGGGGACAACAUUUGGAAACGAAUGCUAAUACCGCAUAACAACUUUAAACAUAAGUUUUAAGUUUGAAAGAUGCAAUUGCAUCACUCAAAGAUGAUCCCGCGUUGUAUUAGCUAGUUGGUGAGGUAAAGGCUCACCAAGGCGAUGAUACAUAGCCGACCUGAGAGGGUGAUCGGCCACAUUGGGACUGAGACACGGCCCAAACUCCUACGGGAGGCAGCAGUAGGGAAUCUUCGGCCAUGGACGAAAGUCUGACCGAGCAACGCCGCGUGUGUGAAGAAGGUUUUCGGAUCGUAAAACUCUGUUGGUAGAGAAGAAAGUUGGUGAGAGUGGAAAGCUCAUCAAGUGACGGUAACUACCCAGAAAGGGACGGCUAACUACGUG
This 497-nucleotide ribosomal RNA is filed under the name uncultured bacterium. Its description in RNAcentral is "partial 16S ribosomal RNA". It matches the Rfam family "Bacterial small subunit ribosomal RNA", at positions 28 to 507 of the family's 1533-position model. The record is from RNAcentral.